CGAGUAGGGUUUUAGCUAUCGUUCCCGACCGUGCUCUAAACGUCGACGCUCUUCCUCGAUAACAUGGCCACCGCCGCCGCCCGGUCAGUCCUCCGCUCCUCCUCGCUCCGCAGCGCCGCUUCGAGGUUUGCCUCCGGUGCCAGAGCGUCCUCCCGCCCUUCCUUCCUCCGCGUCCGCCCCGCCGCCCCUCGCUUCCUCAGGUCCCCGGUAGAGAUGAGCUUCGCCGUGGAAUCGCUGCUGCCGAAACACAGCGCGACCGCCUCGGCGCUGAUGACUUCGAUGCUCACCGUUUCCCUUAGAGGCUACGGUUGGCUUUCUGAAGGACAAGAUGAAACUAGAUGAAGAUCAAGCCAGAAAGCUGGCAAUGAUGAUGUAUAACAAAUAUCCAGUGGAUUGGGCGAAAUUCUAUACAGAACUCCCAUCAGUCAUAGACAAGGUCUGUGAUUUUUUUCAUCAUGGAGAGCACUUGGAUUGGAGAUUUACCAUACCUCUUUCCUUUCUAUUUUCAUUGCUAGACAUUGGUGUGAUCGGUUGCAAAAAAACAAAAAAAUAGAUAACCUUGUGCAACAAAUGGACCAAUAAUGUAUUCUUAACUUUAAAUUUUAUUGGAUUUCCAUCCCUAAUAGUUGGAGCUUAGAUAAAUUGGUUCUUCUAUGUAGAUGGAUGAGUUGUAGUGUUCGGGACAAUGCAUCGCCGAUAGUAGCUGUGGGAUUCUUCAUCAUGACUUUUAAGGUACUCUUUGCCAAUAUCUUUUGAUUAAAGGUUGUUUGAGAAUAUUGGAGAUAAUUCUGUGAUCAUGGCAAUGGCCCCAUGAAAAUUCUUUUUUCCUAGUACCUCAUAGCAAGUAGUGGUGCAGUUGAUUAGUUAUGAGUCCAUUACUGUCAAGUCCAAUCAGUAAGCUGGAACCAUGGUCUCAAAAGCUUUCAGGUGAACACAAAUGUAUUCUUCUGAAUACCUCAGUUCUUGGGAGUCAAGAAGCAGGCUCGGAAGUUAGAUUCACCUGAAUGUUUAGGUUUAGGUCGAUCUAAUGUGCAUUAGAUUAAUAAGGUGAGGAAAUGGACAGAAUAUGAAAAAUAUUCACUUGUAACAUCUCAUUUAAAUUUCAGUUAAAUGGAGGUAUUUCUUUCUCAA
This is a non-coding RNA of Elaeis guineensis (African oil palm), 1131 nucleotides long. Lineage: Eukaryota; Viridiplantae; Streptophyta; Magnoliopsida; Arecales; Arecaceae. The record is from RefSeq and is a predicted model, not a curated record.